ACCGAUAUGGUGCAGUGGUUAGCAUUUUGGACUUUCACUCCAAAGACCGGGGUUCGAACCCCCGUAUCGGUG
RNAcentral lists this transfer RNA (72 nucleotides) under Phaeoacremonium minimum UCRPA7. Its description in RNAcentral is "tRNA-Glu (TTC) (tRNA-Glu-TTC-2-1)". It matches the Rfam family "tRNA". Rfam says of the family: Transfer RNA (tRNA) molecules are approximately 80 nucleotides in length. Their secondary structure includes four short double-helical elements and three loops (D, anti-codon, and T loops). Lineage: Eukaryota; Fungi; Ascomycota; Sordariomycetes; Togniniales; Togniniaceae. The record is from RNAcentral.